UACGAAGGGGGCUAGCGUUGCUCGGAAUUACUGGGCGUAAAGCGCACGUAGGCGGCUUUGUAAGUUAGAGGUGAAAGCCCGGAGCUCAACUCCGGAACUGCCUUUAAGACUGCAUCGCUUGAAUCCAGGAGAGGUGAGUGGAAUUCCGAGUGUAGAGGUGAAAUUCGUAGAUAUUCGGAAGAACACCAGUGGCGAAGGCGGCUCACUGACUGGUAUUGACGCUGAGGUGCGAAAGCGUGGGGAGCAACAGG
This 251-nucleotide ribosomal RNA is filed under the name uncultured bacterium. RNAcentral's name for it is "partial 16S ribosomal RNA". It matches the Rfam family "Bacterial small subunit ribosomal RNA", at positions 524 to 775 of the family's 1533-position model. The record is from RNAcentral.